GGGGAGGUACCAGAGCGGUCAAAUGGGGCAGACUGUAAAUCUGUUGGCACAGCCUUCGGAGGUUCGAAUCCUCCUCUCCCCACCC
This 85-nucleotide transfer RNA is filed under the name Bacteroidetes bacterium GWE2_42_24. RNAcentral describes it as "tRNA-Tyr". It matches the Rfam family "tRNA". Rfam says of the family: Transfer RNA (tRNA) molecules are approximately 80 nucleotides in length. Their secondary structure includes four short double-helical elements and three loops (D, anti-codon, and T loops). RNAcentral also lists the same sequence under 3 other names. The record is from RNAcentral. Lineage: Bacteria; Pseudomonadati; Bacteroidota.